This 548-nucleotide ribosomal RNA is filed under the name uncultured bacterium. Its description in RNAcentral is "bacterial SSU rRNA". It matches the Rfam family "Bacterial small subunit ribosomal RNA", at positions 355 to 895 of the family's 1533-position model. The record is from RNAcentral.
UAGGGAAUCUUCGGCAAUGGACGGAAGUCUGACCGAGCAACGCCGCGUGAGUGAAGAAGGUUUUCGGAUCGUAAAGCUCUGUUGUAAGAGAAGAACGAGUGUGAGAGUGGAAAGUUCACACUGUGACGGUAUCUUACCAGAAAGGGACGGCUAACUACGUGCCAGCAGCCGCGGUAAUACGUAGGUCCCGAGCGUUGUCCGGAUUUAUUGGGCGUAAAGCGAGCGCAGGCGGUUAGAUAAGUCUGAAGUUAAAGGCUGUGGCUUAACCAUAGUACGCUUUGGAAACUGUUUAACUUGAGUGCAAGAGGGGAGAGUGGAAUUCCAUGUGUAGCGGUGAAAUGCGUAGAUAUAUGGAGGAACACCGGUGGCGAAAGCGGUUCUCUGGCUUGUAACUGACGCUGAGGCUCGAAAGCGUGGGGAGCAAACAGGAUUAGAUACCCUGGUAGUCCACGCCGUNNCGAUGAGUGCUAGGUGUUAGACCCUUUCCGGGGUUUAGUGNCGUAGCUNACGCAUUAAGCACUCCGCCUGGGGAGUACGACCGCAAGGNU